Long non-coding RNA from Leptopilina boulardi, 375 nucleotides. RefSeq lists it as uncharacterized. The transcript is spliced from 2 exons. NCBI's taxonomy places the organism in Eukaryota, Metazoa, Arthropoda, Insecta, Hymenoptera, Figitidae. The record is from RefSeq and is a predicted model, not a curated record.
GGAUUUUUGAAAUUUCAUAACAUUCAUAAUUGAACUUUCUUGACUUAUACUAACAAACUAAUAAAGAUCAAAUAAAAAAUGGCAAGUUUCAAAUUGUUAUUUGUACUUUUGGCAACCAUUUUAAUGUUCAUGGCUCCUGUUAUCAAUGCCAAAUGUAAAGGAAAUGGAACUCCAUGCCAACCUAAUGGAAAGACAAAUUGUUGUACAGGAUAUUGUUAUAAACAAGUAGGAUGGAAAAAAGGUCAUUGCGCCAAUCGUCGUUAAGUAGAAUUAUAUAUUACAUUUUUAACUUGUAAAGUUAGCUAUAAUGUAUAUUCUAAAUGCAAUGUAAAUUAAAAAAUAAAUCAAAAUAAAUACUUUUUUAUAAACUUAAAA